This 2914-nucleotide ribosomal RNA is filed under the name Vibrio parahaemolyticus. RNAcentral's name for it is "23S ribosomal RNA". It matches the Rfam family "Bacterial large subunit ribosomal RNA". Lineage: Bacteria; Pseudomonadati; Pseudomonadota; Gammaproteobacteria; Vibrionales; Vibrionaceae. The record is from RNAcentral.
GUUGUAUGGUUAAGUGACUAAGCGUACACGGUGGAUGCCUUGGCAGUCAGAGGCGAUGAAGGACGUAUUAACUUGCGAUAAGCCCAGAUUAGGCAGUAAAAGCCACUUGAGUCUGGGAUUUCCGAAUGGGGAAACCCACUAGCAUAAGCUAGUAUCGCUGCGUGAAUACAUAGCGCAGCGAGGCGAACCGGGGGAACUGAAACAUCUAAGUACCCCGAGGAAAAGAAAUCAACCGAGAUUCCGAAAGUAGCGGCGAGCGAAAUUGGACUAGCCCUUAAGCUUUAUAUGCGUUAGACGAACGGUCUGGAAAGUCCGGCGAUACAGGGUGAUAGCCCCGUAGUUGACAACGCACAUUCAGUGAAAUCGAGUAGGGCGGGACACGUGAUAUCCUGUCUGAAUAUGGGGGACCAUCCUCCAAGGCUAAAUACUACUGACUGACCGAUAGUGAACCAGUACCGUGAGGGAAAGGCGAAAAGAACCCCUGUGAGGGGAGUGAAAUAGAACCUGAAACCGUGUACGUACAAGCAGUAGGAGCAGGCUUUGUCCUGUGACUGCGUACCUUUUGUAUAAUGGGUCAGCGACUUAUAUUCAGUGGCAAGGUUAACCAUCUAGGGGAGCCGUAGGGAAACCGAGUCUUAACUGGGCGUUCAGUCUCUGGAUAUAGACCCGAAACCAGGUGAUCUAGCCAUGGGCAGGUUGAAGGUUGAGUAACAUCAACUGGAGGACCGAACCGACUAAUGUUGAAAAAUUAGCGGAUGACUUGUGGCUAGGGGUGAAAGGCCAAUCAAACCUGGAGAUAGCUGGUUCUCCCCGAAAGCUAUUUAGGUAGCGCCUCGGACGAAUACUACUGGGGGUAGAGCACUGUUAAGGCUAGGGGGUCAUCCCGACUUACCAACCCUUUGCAAACUCCGAAUACCAGUAAGUACUAUCCGGGAGACACACGGCGGGUGCUAACGUCCGUCGUGGAGAGGGAAACAACCCAGACCGCCAGCUAAGGUCCCAAAUUACUACUAAGUGGGAAACGAUGUGGGAAGGCUCAGACAGCCAGGAUGUUGGCUUAGAAGCAGCCAUCAUUUAAAGAAAGCGUAAUAGCUCACUGGUCGAGUCGGCCUGCGCGGAAGAUGUAACGGGGCUAAGUAGUAAACCGAAGCUGCGGCAAUGUGCUUUUGCACAUUGGGUAGGGGAGCGUUCUGUAAGCGGUUGAAGGUGUGUGGUAACGCAUGCUGGACGUAUCAGAAGUGCGAAUGCUGACAUGAGUAACGAUAAAGGGGGUGAAAAACCUCCUCGCCGGAAGACCAAGGGUUCCUGUCCAACGUUAAUCGGGGCAGGGUAAGUCGACCCCUAAGGCGAGGCCGAAAGGCGUAGUCGAUGGGAAACGGGUUAAUAUUCCCGUACUUCUUACAAUUGCGAUGGGGGACGGAGAAGGCUAGGUGGGCCUGGCGACGGUUGUCCAGGUUCAAGUGCGUAGGCUUAAGAGUUAGGUAAAUCCGGCUCUUUCUAAGGCUGAGACACGACGUCGAGCUACUACGGUAGUGAAGUCAUUGAUGCCAUGCUUCCAGGAAAAGCCUCUAAGCUUCAGAUUGUAAGGAAUCGUACCCCAAACCGACACAGGUGGUCGGGUAGAGAAUACCAAGGCGCUUGAGAGAACUCGGGUGAAGGAACUAGGCAAAAUGGUACCGUAACUUCGGGAGAAGGUACGCUCUCGACGGUGAAGUCCCUCGCGGAUGGAGCUAUUGAGAGUCGCAGAUACCAGGUGGCUGCAACUGUUUAUUAAAAACACAGCACUGUGCAAAAUCGUAAGAUGACGUAUACGGUGUGACGCCUGCCCGGUGCCGGAAGGUUAAUUGAUGGGGUUAGACUUCGGUCGAAGCUCUUGAUCGAAGCCCCGGUAAACGGCGGCCGUAACUAUAACGGUCCUAAGGUAGCGAAAUUCCUUGUCGGGUAAGUUCCGACCUGCACGAAUGGCGUAAUGAUGGCCACGCUGUCUCCACCCGAGACUCAGUGAAAUUGAAAUCGCUGUGAAGAUGCAGUGUACCCGCGGCUAGACGGAAAGACCCCGUGAACCUUUACUACAGCUUGGCACUGAACAUUGACCCUACAUGUGUAGGAUAGGUGGGAGGCUUUGAAGACGGUACGCCAGUAUCGUUGGAGCCGUCCUUGAAAUACCACCCUUGUAGUGUUGAUGUUCUAACGUUGACCCCUUAUCGGGGUUACGGACAGUGCCUGGUGGGUAGUUUGACUGGGGCGGUCUCCUCCCAAAGAGUAACGGAGGAGCACGAAGGUGGGCUAAUCACGGUUGGACAUCGUGAGGUUAGUGCAAUGGCAUAAGCCCGCUUGACUGCGAGAAUGACAAUUCGAGCAGGUGCGAAAGCAGGUCAUAGUGAUCCGGUGGUUCUGAAUGGAAGGGCCAUCGCUCAACGGAUAAAAGGUACUCCGGGGAUAACAGGCUGAUACCGCCCAAGAGUUCAUAUCGACGGCGGUGUUUGGCACCUCGAUGUCGGCUCAUCACAUCCUGGGGCUGAAGUCGGUCCCAAGGGUAUGGCUGUUCGCCAUUUAAAGUGGUACGCGAGCUGGGUUUAGAACGUCGUGAGACAGUUCGGUCCCUAUCUGCCGUGGGCGUUGGAAGAUUGAAGGGGGCUGCUCCUAGUACGAGAGGACCGGAGUGGACGAACCUCUGGUGUUCGGGUUGUGUCGCCAGACGCAUUGCCCGGUAGCUAAGUUCGGAAUCGAUAACCGCUGAAAGCAUCUAAGCGGGAAGCGAGCCCUGAGAUGAGUCUUCCCUGAUACUUUAAGUAUCCUAAAGGGUUGUCGGAGACUACGACGUUGAUAGGUCAGGUGUGUAAGUGCUGUGAGGCAUUGAGCUAACUGAUACUAAUUGCCCGUGAGGCUUAACCAUACAACACCCAAGGGGUUU